CCGCACUCCAACAUGGAGGCACUUGCUGGAACACGACAGAAAUAAGUGCUUCCAUGUUUGAGUGCGG
This is a non-coding RNA of Fukomys damarensis (Damara mole-rat), 67 nucleotides long. The record is from Rfam. NCBI's taxonomy places the organism in Eukaryota, Metazoa, Chordata, Mammalia, Rodentia, Bathyergidae.